GAUGAACGCUAGCGGCAGGCUUAAUACAUGCAAGUCGAGGGGCAGCAGGGUAGCAAUACCCGCUGGCGACCGGCAAACGGGUGCGGAACACGUACACAACCUUCCUUUAAGUGGGGAAUAGCCCAGAGAAAUUUGGAUUAAUACCCCGUAACAUUAUUGAAUGGCAUCAUUUAAUAAUUAAAGCUCCGGCGCUUGAAGAUGGGUGUGCGUCUGAUUAGGUAGUUGGUAGGGGUAACGGCCCACCAAGCCAACGAUCAGUAACUGGUGUGAGAGCACGACCAGUCACACGGGCACUGAGACACGGGCCCG
Molecule: ribosomal RNA, 309 nt
Filed under: uncultured bacterium
Lineage: Bacteria
Description: bacterial SSU rRNA
Rfam family: Bacterial small subunit ribosomal RNA
Source: RNAcentral